GUGGAUUUAACAGGUGACGUCAAUAAGGGACCAUAGCUUUCACCUGGAUUCACCUGUUUCCUACACUCAGUAUAUAUUAUUUGUUGGUCCUUCCUUCCGGGAACCAAGUUUAUAUACAUGGCUGGAACAUUUUCCCAUGCAGUUAGUUGCAUUGUUUCAAAUAACAUAGAUACAACUUCACCACUUUCCUGAAGAGCCUCAGAAGUUACAAAUCAAUGAGCUGAGAUCAAGGAGAUCAUGCAAGGGAUAAAACGUUGACGGCAACAAGAGAAGGCAUCAGAUUCUGAGUAAAAUUGUUGAGGACAAGGCAGCCUUGACAGCUGUUCAACUUCACGAGCAGCAGGCAGAGUUUAGCCCCCCACAGUGGAUGAGCUGAUCAAUACUGACACCUUUGUGUGGCCAUGGGAGAGACUUGGCACCAGUAAAUAUAUGAUUGCAGAAGG
RNAcentral lists this long non-coding RNA (443 nucleotides) under Salmo salar (Atlantic salmon). RNAcentral describes it as "lncRNA (ENSSSAG00000101141.1)". The record is from RNAcentral. Lineage: Eukaryota; Metazoa; Chordata; Actinopteri; Salmoniformes; Salmonidae.